AUUGAACGCUGGCGGCAUGCCUAACACAUGCAAGUCGAGCGGAAGAAGGGAGCUGGCUCCUGGCUUCAGCGGCGGGCGGGUGUGUUAUACCUAAGAAUGUCCCUGCGUGGGGGGUAUAACGUCCGGAGAUGGGCGCUAAUACCGCACACGCCCUGGGGGAGAACGGGGGGGCGCUUGGGAUCUCACGCUAUCAGCUGCGCCUAGGUGGGAUUGGCGAGUUGGGGGGGUAAAGGCCCACCAACGCGACUAUCCGUAACUGCUGUGAGAGUGUGAGCAGUCACACUGGAACUGAGACACGGGCCAGACUCCUACGGGAGGGAGCAGUGGGGAAUAUUGGACAAUGGGCGAAAGCCUGAUCCAGACAUGCCGCGUGUGUGAAGAAGGUCUUCGGAUUGUAAAGCACUUUUUGUUGGGAGGAAAAGAAGUAAGUUAAUACCCUGCUGGUUUGACGUUACCAACAGAAUAAGCGCCGGCUAACUUCGUG
This 484-nucleotide ribosomal RNA is filed under the name uncultured bacterium. Its description in RNAcentral is "partial 16S ribosomal RNA". It matches the Rfam family "Bacterial small subunit ribosomal RNA", at positions 30 to 507 of the family's 1533-position model. The record is from RNAcentral.